GACGUAGUGAGGCACCCCCCAUUCCGUAUGCAGAAGACGCCGAAGGGUACCUUUACCGUCACCGACCGAAUAAAAAGGGUACCUUUCCCGUCAGUCACCGACGCUAAAGGGCCUUUGCCAACAGUCGGUAUUUGACGUUCUCGGAGUGAGACUGUGUUGGUCUCAGCCUAAUGCGCGGAGGAAAACGGAGGCCAGGGCUGUGAAUGGACUUGUUGAUGAACAGUUUGUCCUGCGUCUCACGCUUUUCGAGGAGCUAUUCCGGGUCACAAAAUUCAUGUCUGACCAGCUCCAAUCUCCCACUCUUGAGCUUUCGUCCACAAUAGACUUAUCAGAGUCAGUCAUAGCGACAUUGUCAGACAAACGCGCAGAAGAGUCGUGGAUUGACAUUCGGGACAGAGCAGCGGACCUGUGCACCAAAGCCGGUGUGAGCCAGGACGGGACAUGCGAAAAGAGACGGACACAGCCUCCUCGAAUUCUUCAGGAGUUUGUUGUCGAGGCCCCAGUUGAGCGCACACCUGUUACAACUUCAGAUGCGCAGCGCACACAUUUGUAUUACCCAGUAAUUGACAGACUUGUGGGUGAAAUGAGAAGACGUUUCUCAACCGAGGCCGGAGGUGUUUUAACUGGAGUCUCGGCACUCAGCCCCAAACAUGCGUCUUUCCUAGACAAGACAUGUCUGCAGCCCAUGGCGCAGUUCUAUUUAGUGACUGAGGAAAACCUGACAGCAGAGCUACACCAAAUUCAGCGUCUGCUGGAAAGAAAGAAAGCACAGGGACAUGUAGUGAAUGACACUUUGGAAUUUCUCGCUUUAAUGCGACCUUACCGGGAUGCUUUUGUGGAUUUAUACAGACUCAUCUGUAUUUCACUGACCCUGCCCGUGACCUCUGCUUCGUGCGAACGCAGUUUCUCCUGCCUCCGUCGGAUUAAGAACUAUCUACGGAACAGCAGUGGUGAUACCCGAAACAGCAACUUGGCGCUGCUGUCCAUCAACAAACAAAGGACAAAGACUUUGGAUGUUCAGCGCAUCAUCGACAUCUUUGCCUCCAAUCACAAAAACCGGCGGAUUGUACUCAUUUGAAAAUCUCAACCUGGGUGAUGUUCAGCACAUGAAGCCCUACAGAUGCCGCCGCUUCAACAAUGCUGAUUAUGAUGGGCGGUGAAUUUAACCUGUAUGGCUUUUUCGUUUUAACUUCUUGUUGACUGAAUUGUUUCUCUUUCUUAGUGCCAAAUUGAUUCUUUUUUGUUUUACAAGAGCCCUCUCUGCUCUCCUUCUCAUUCAUUUUUCCUUUUCUAGUUGCCUUAGAAUAGGCAACUAGAGGUCCUCCACAGUCGCCCCAUCAGUCCCUGGCAGUCUUGUCCCUGGAGCAGCUGUCCCUGGAUCACCUGCC
This is a long non-coding RNA of Gadus morhua (Atlantic cod), 1388 nucleotides long. NCBI's taxonomy places the organism in Eukaryota, Metazoa, Chordata, Actinopteri, Gadiformes, Gadidae. The record is from Ensembl.